GGACAGCCAUCGCCGAGUCCCCGCAGGCGCGAGCCGGGGGAGCCGGGGACCCACAUGUUCCCUGGGGUGAAUCGGGCGUCCGUGCGCGAGCGCGGGGCCCGUAGGAGACCUUCCUGCUCCGAACCCGUCAGCUAACCCGGUAGGCGAGAGGGAAGGAAAGG
This 161-nucleotide small RNA is filed under the name Streptomyces malaysiense. RNAcentral's name for it is "c-di-AMP sequence". It matches the Rfam family "c-di-AMP riboswitch aptamer (ydaO/yuaA leader)". Rfam says of the family: This family represents a conserved RNA structure found upstream of the ydaO and yuaA genes in Bacillus subtilis and related genes in other bacteria. Lineage: Bacteria; Bacillati; Actinomycetota; Actinomycetes; Kitasatosporales; Streptomycetaceae. The record is from Rfam by way of RNAcentral.